GCGCGUCUCUUUAAACCUGAGGGUUUUGGCGGUCUUUUUUCUUUUUAAAGGAACUUGCCCUGUAAUCGAUAAUCCUCGUUUUAUUUAACUUAUUUUUAGUUUGUAUAUCGCUGUUGAUGGUAUCUUUUAGGUGGGAUAUUGGUGUAAUAUUGCUCUUAAUUUCAAGUCAAGGGGCAGCUUAUGAUUAAGGUUGAGGUGAGUUACUAUAAUGUAGUGUGAAUGUUUGAUUUAAAUUAUAACUGAGAGUGGAUUUUAUAGUAAUUAGUUAGUAGAGAUUUUUGAUGAAUGGAGUUUAGGAGAUGU
This 303-nucleotide ribosomal RNA is filed under the name Pseudocellus sp. MCZ IZ 89570. RNAcentral's name for it is "partial small subunit ribosomal RNA". Lineage: Eukaryota; Metazoa; Arthropoda; Arachnida; Ricinulei; Ricinoididae. The record is from RNAcentral.